UGGGGAAUAUUGGACAAUGGGCGAAAGCCUGAUCCAGCCAUGCCGCGUGUGUGAAGAAGGUCUUCGGAUUGUAAAGCACUUUAAGUUGGGAGGAAGGGCAGUAAGCGAAUACCUUGCUGUUUUGACGUUACCGACAGAAUAAGCACCGGCUAACUCUGUGCCAGCAGCCGCGGUAAUACAGAGGGUGCAAGCGUUAAUCGGAAUUACUGGGCGUAAAGCGCGCGUAGGUGGUUCGUUAAGUUGAAUGUGAAAGCCCCGGGCUCAACCUGGGAACUGCAUCCAAAACUGGCGAGCUAGAGUAGGGCAGAGGGUGGUGGAAUUUCCUGUGUAGCGGAGAAAUGCGUAGAUAUAGGAAGGAACACCAGUGGCGAAGGCGACCACCUGAGCUCAUACUGACACUGAGGUGCGAAAGCGUGGGGAGCAAACAGG
Molecule: ribosomal RNA, 429 nt
Filed under: Pseudomonadota bacterium
Lineage: Bacteria; Pseudomonadati; Pseudomonadota
Description: Proteobacteria bacterium partial 16S ribosomal RNA
Rfam family: Bacterial small subunit ribosomal RNA
Source: RNAcentral